Non-coding RNA from Nicotiana tabacum (common tobacco), 338 nucleotides. Lineage: Eukaryota; Viridiplantae; Streptophyta; Magnoliopsida; Solanales; Solanaceae. The record is from RefSeq and is a predicted model, not a curated record.
AUGACAUGGGAAAUGGUGGAUUCAAAAUCUUUAUCUAGCAAAUUCAGGAGUCCCUUGGCCAAGAUUCUGCACUAUUCGUGACAGGUGAGGGCGCGAUGCUGUGAUUAAGAGGGAAAUUCGUGGAAGUUCACACUGCUAGUUAUUGUGGACUUUUAUCAUACAAACUUGAAUUGUUUGCUGUGUUUGCUUGUGUAAUAUGUUUCAAGCCUAAGAAUAAAUCUUGUGAGACCUUUGUAUUUGUCUAUGUUUGUUGCUGCAACAAUGUUUCAAACAUAACACUAAAUCAUGUGAGACCUUUGUAUUUGCUUGUGUAAUACUAUUGAAAUCCUUUUCUCUUU